AUGAGGAGAUAACUUCGUCGAUCGACGGCAAGUAUGUUUUGAAGAUAAUUAUUUUUUUAUUUUUUUAUUUUUUAUUUUUUUGGCUUAUAUUUUAAACUAAAUCCUGAAUAUUCUAAAAAUAGAAAUGAGCUGCCUCCCAUUCAGCGCUUAUUUUAAGUCUUUAAUUUGACUCGAUGUUCGAUAUGUCUAAUUAUCGGGAGGGGGGCCUAAGCUUAUAGGCCUGAUAAUUAGUGGUUUAGCCAAAAAGUGUUUCAUUCAUUAGCCAUUCACUGUGAAUUCAUCUCCUUUAUCAUUUAUAAGUGUAAUGGCUCCAUAAGGAUAGAAGUUCACAACAGUGAA
This 339-nucleotide long non-coding RNA is filed under the name Brassica napus (rape). RNAcentral describes it as "long non-coding RNA (BNAP_LNC015598)". The record is from RNAcentral. Lineage: Eukaryota; Viridiplantae; Streptophyta; Magnoliopsida; Brassicales; Brassicaceae.